RNAcentral lists this ribosomal RNA (763 nucleotides) under uncultured Streptococcus sp. Its description in RNAcentral is "bacterial SSU rRNA". It matches the Rfam family "Bacterial small subunit ribosomal RNA", at positions 28 to 776 of the family's 1533-position model. The record is from RNAcentral. Lineage: Bacteria; Bacillati; Bacillota; Bacilli; Lactobacillales; Streptococcaceae.
GACGAACGCUGGCGGCGUGCCUAAUACAUGCAAGUAGAACGCUGAAGGAGGAGCUUGCUUCUCUGGAUGAGUUGCGAACGGGUGAGUAACGCGUAGGUAACCUGCCUGGUAGCGGGGGAUAACUAUUGGAAACGAUAGCUAAUACCGCAUAAGAGUAGAUGUUGCAUGACAUUUACUUAAAAGGUGCAAUUGCAUCACUACCAGAUGGACCUGCGUUGUAUCAGCUAGUUGGUGGGGUAACGGCUCACCAAGGCGACGAUACAUAGCCGACCUGAGAGGGUGAUCGGCCACACUGGGACUGAGACACGGCCCAGACUCCUACGGGAGGCAGCAGUAGGGAAUCUUCGGCAAUGGACGGAAGUCUGACCGAGCAACGCCGCGUGAGUGAAGAAGGUUUUCGGAUCGUAAAGCUCUGUUGUAAGAGAAGAACGAGUGUGAGAGUGGAAAGUUCACACUGUGACGGUAUCUUACCAGAAAGGGACGGCUAACUACGUGCCAGCAGCCGCGGUAAUACGUAGGUCCCGAGCGUUGUCCGGAUUUAUUGGGCGUAAAGCGAGCGCAGGCGGUUAGAUAAGUCUGAAGUUAAAGGCUGUGGCUUAACCAUAGUACGCUUUGGAAACUGUUUAACUUGAGUGCAAGAGGGGAGAGUGGAAUUCCAUGUGUAGCGGUGAAAUGCGUAGAUAUAUGGAGGAACACCGGUGGCGAAAGCGGCUCUCUGGCUUGUAACUGACGCUGAGGCUCGAAAGCGUGGGGAGCAAACAGG